RNAcentral lists this transfer RNA (54 nucleotides) under Colius striatus (speckled mousebird). It matches the Rfam family "tRNA", at positions 19 to 71 of the family's 71-position model. Rfam says of the family: Transfer RNA (tRNA) molecules are approximately 80 nucleotides in length. Their secondary structure includes four short double-helical elements and three loops (D, anti-codon, and T loops). Lineage: Eukaryota; Metazoa; Chordata; Aves; Coliiformes; Coliidae. The record is from Rfam by way of RNAcentral.
UAGAGCGCAUGCUUUGCAUGUAUGAGGUCCCGGGUUCAAUCCCCGGCGUCUCCA